Molecule: ribosomal RNA, 719 nt
Filed under: uncultured bacterium
Lineage: Bacteria
Description: bacterial SSU rRNA
Rfam family: Bacterial small subunit ribosomal RNA
Source: RNAcentral
GUCGAACGAAGCGAUUUGACGGAAGUUUUCGGAUGGAAGUUAAAUUGACUGACUGGCGGACGGGUGAGUAACGCGUGGGUAACCUGCCUCACACUGGGGGACAACAGUUAGAAAUGACUGCUAAUACCGCAUAAGCGCACAGGACCGCAUGGUCUAGUGUGAAAAACUCCGGUGGUGUGAGAUGGACCCGCGUUUGAUUAGCUAGUUGGUGGGGUAACGGCCUACCAAGGCGACGAUCAAUAGCCGACCUGAGAGGGUGACCGGCCACAUUGGGACUGAGACACGGCCCAAACUCCUACGGGAGGCAGCAGUGGGGAAUAUUGCACAAUGGGGGAAACCCUGAUGCAGCGACGCCGCGUGAGUGAAGAAGUAUUUCGGUAUGUAAGGCUCUAUCAGCAGGGAAGAAAAUGACGGUACCUGACUAAGAAGCCCCGGCUAACUACGUGCCAGCAGCCGCGGUAAUACGUAGGGGGCAAGCGUUAUCCGGAUUUACUGGGUGUAAAGGGAGCGUAGACGGUAAAGCAAGUCUGAAGUGAAAACCCGGGGCUCAACCCCGGGACUGCUUUGGAAACUGUUUAACUAGAGUGCUGGAGAGGUAAGCGGAAUUCCUAGUGUAGCGGUGAAAUGCGUAGAUAUUAGGAGGAACACCGGUGGCGAAGGCGGCUUACUGGACAGUAACUGACGUUGAGGCUCGAAAGCGUGGGGAGCAAACAGGAUUA